RNAcentral lists this ribosomal RNA (395 nucleotides) under uncultured bacterium. Its description in RNAcentral is "partial 16S ribosomal RNA". It matches the Rfam family "Bacterial small subunit ribosomal RNA", at positions 360 to 773 of the family's 1533-position model. The record is from RNAcentral.
AAUAUUGCACAAUGGGGGAAACCCUGAUGCAGCGACGCCGCGUGAGUGAGGAAGGCCUUCGGGUCGUAAAGCUCUUUCCUAAGGGAAGAAACGGACGGUACCCCAGGAGGAAGCGCCGGCGAACAACGUGUCCGCAGCCGCGGUAAUACGUACGGGGCGAGCGUUAUCCGGAAUUACUGGGCGUAAAGGGUGCGUAGGCGGCCUUUUAAGUCAGAUGUGAAAGGCUACGGCUUAACCGUAGUUAGCAUUUGAAACUAAAAGGCUUGAGUGCAGGAGAGGAGAGUGGAAUUCCUAGUGUAGCGGUGAAAUGCGUAGAUAUUAGGAGGAACACCAGUGGCGAAGGCGACUCUCUGGACUGCAACUGACGCUGAGGCACGAAAGCGUGGGGAGCGAAC